CGAACGCUGGCGGCGUGGAUAAGACAUGCAAGUCGAAUGGGAUAACAUCUGUAGCAAUACAGGUGUUAUUUAGUGGCGAACGGGUGCGUAACACGUGGGGAAUCUGCCAAGAAGUGGGGGAUAGCUCGCCGAAAGGCGAAUUAAUACCGCAUAUGGUCAGUGAAGACAUCUUCACAACACCAAAGCCGGGGCAACCUGGCGCUUUUUGAUGACCCCGCGGCCUAUCAGCUAGUUGGUGAGGUAACGGCUCACCAAGGCAUUGACGGGUAGCUGGUCUGAGAGGACGACCAGCCACACUGGAACUGAGACACGGUCCAGACACCUACGGGUGGCAGCAGUCGAGAAUUUUUCACAAUGGGGGCAACCCUGAUGGAGCGACGCCGCGUGGAGGAUGAAGGCUUUCGGGUUGUAAACUCCUGUCAUUUGGGAACAAGGUGCAUCGAUUAACUGUCGAUGCAUUGAUAGUA
This 467-nucleotide ribosomal RNA is filed under the name uncultured copper smeltery bacterium D56. RNAcentral's name for it is "bacterial SSU rRNA". It matches the Rfam family "Bacterial small subunit ribosomal RNA", at positions 30 to 477 of the family's 1533-position model. The record is from RNAcentral.